GAUGAACGCUGGCGGCGUGCUUAACACAUGCAAGUCGAACGGAAAGGCCCAAGCUUGCUUGGGUACUCGAGUGGCGAACGGGUGAGUAACACGUGGGUGAUCUGCCCUGCACUUCGGGAUAAGCCUGGGAAACUGGGUCUAAUACCGGAUAGGACGAUGGUUUGGAUGCCAUUGUGGAAAGUUUUUUCGGUGUGGGAUGAGCUCGCGGCCUAUCAGCUUGUUGGUGGGGUAAUGGCCUACCAAGGCGUCGACGGGUAGCCGGCCUGUGAGGGUGUACGGCCACAUUUGGACUGAGAUACGGCCCAGACUCCUACGGGAGGCAGCAGUGGGGAAUAUUGCACAAUGGGCGCAAGCCUGAUGCAGCGACGCCGCGUGGGGGAUGACGGCCUUCGGGUUGUAAACUCCUUUCGCUAGGGACGAAGCGUUUUUGUGACGGUACCUGGAGAAGAAGCACCGGCUAACUACGUG
This 468-nucleotide ribosomal RNA is filed under the name uncultured bacterium. RNAcentral describes it as "partial 16S ribosomal RNA". It matches the Rfam family "Bacterial small subunit ribosomal RNA", at positions 28 to 507 of the family's 1533-position model. The record is from RNAcentral.